GAUGAAGAACGUAGCGAAAUGCGAUAAGUAAUGUGAAUUGCAGAAUUCAGUGAAUCAUCGAAUCUUUGAACGCACAUUGCGCCCCUUGGUAUUCCGAGGGGCAUGCCUGUUCGAGCGUCAUUAUAACCCCUCAAGCUCAGCUUGGUGUUGGGGCCUGCUGCACUGGCAGCCCUUAAAAUCAGUGGCGGCGCCGUCUGGCUCUAAGCGUAGUAAUUCUUCUCGCUAUGGAGUCCUGGUGGAUGCUUGCCAUCAACCCCCAAUUUUUCUAUGGUUGACCUCGGAUCAGGUAGGGAUACCCGCUGAACUUAAGCAUAUCAAUAAGCGGAGGG
RNAcentral lists this unclassified non-coding RNA (329 nucleotides) under soil metagenome. Its description in RNAcentral is "partial contains 5.8S ribosomal RNA, internal transcribed spacer 2, and large subunit ribosomal RNA". The stretch from base 1 to 120 matches the Rfam family "5.8S ribosomal RNA", at positions 35 to 154 of the family's 154-position model. The record is from RNAcentral.